This 216-nucleotide ribosomal RNA is filed under the name Glomeromycotina sp. RNAcentral describes it as "partial small subunit ribosomal RNA". The stretch from base 40 to 216 matches the Rfam family "Eukaryotic small subunit ribosomal RNA", at positions 686 to 864 of the family's 1831-position model. Lineage: Eukaryota; Fungi; Glomeromycota. The record is from RNAcentral.
GGGACAGUAGGUUGGUCGUGCCACCGGUACGUACUGGUCUCACUGAUUCCUCCUUCCUGAAGAACCGUAAUGCCAUUAAUUUGGUGUUGCGGGGAAACAGGACUGUUACUUUGAAAAAUUUAGAGUGUUUAAAGCAAGCUAACGCUUGAAUACAUUAGCAUGGAAUAAUGAAAUAGGACGAUCGAUCCUAUUUUGUUGGUUUCUAGGAUUGACGUA